CAAGACCUACGCUUUUGGAGCGGCCGAUGUCUGAUUAGCUUGUUGGUGAGGUAAAGGCUUACCAAGGCUUCGAUCAGUAGCUGGUCUGAGAGGACGACCAGCCACACUGGGACUGAGGCACGGCCCAGACUCCUACGGGAGGCAGCAGUGGGGAAUUUUGGACAAUGGGGGAAACCCUGAUCCAGCCAUGCCGCGUGAGUGAAGAAGGCCUUCGGGUUGUAAAGCUCUUUCAGCCGGGAAGAAAAGGUUGCGAUUAAUAAUCGCAAUUUAUGACGGUACCGGAAGAAGAAGCACCGGCUAACUACGUGCCAGCAGCCGCGGUAAUACGUAGGGUGCGAGCGUUAAUCGGAAUUACUGGGCGUAAAGCGUGCGCAGGUGGUUUUGUAAGUCAGAUGUGAAAGCCCCGGGCUCAACCUGGGAACU
This 423-nucleotide ribosomal RNA is filed under the name uncultured bacterium. RNAcentral describes it as "bacterial SSU rRNA". It matches the Rfam family "Bacterial small subunit ribosomal RNA", at positions 207 to 622 of the family's 1533-position model. The record is from RNAcentral.